Molecule: ribosomal RNA, 253 nt
Filed under: uncultured bacterium
Lineage: Bacteria
Description: partial 16S ribosomal RNA
Rfam family: Bacterial small subunit ribosomal RNA
Source: RNAcentral
UACGUAGGGUGCGAGCGUUAAUCGGAAUUACUGGGCGUAAAGCGUGCGCAGGCGGUUUUGCAAGCCGGAUGUGAAAUCCCCGGGCUUAACCUGGGAAUGGCAUUCGGGACUGCAAGGCUGGAGUGCGGCAGAGGAGACUGGAAUUCCUGGUGUAGCAGUGAAAUGCGUAGAUAUCAGGAGGAACACCGAUGGCGAAGGCAGGUCUCUGGGCUGACACUGACGCUCAUGCACGAAAGCGUGGGGAGCAAACAGG